RNAcentral lists this long non-coding RNA (355 nucleotides) under Scleropages formosus (Asian bonytongue). RNAcentral describes it as "lncRNA (ENSSFOG00015028624.1)". The record is from RNAcentral. Lineage: Eukaryota; Metazoa; Chordata; Actinopteri; Osteoglossiformes; Osteoglossidae.
GCGCUAUUUCCAUGAUGCGCUACUGUUGCGAUAGGCAUAGUGGAAGCGUCUUGAGUUCUGUAUGCUUUCCUACGCCCGUGGAAGCAAUAACUCUGCUGCUUGUUCUUAUCAUUGUCUGAACACAUUUUGAGCAUUAUUUCUCUGGACAGUCGUUUCAAUGAGGGGUCUACAUCCAUUUCCCACUCCAACAAAGUUCUGACAUCCCCACUGACCCUGGUCCAUGUGUACGAGCUCCUCUCUGCUUGAGUGACACGGGACAGCACUGUUGGAGGGGUCAGGAGAAGUCACAUUUUCACAUGGCCCAUAGCUGGACCCCCUGGGAUUUCUCCAUGCGCCUGUUCUCUGCAAUCUGUUC